This 279-nucleotide ribosomal RNA is filed under the name uncultured bacterium. Its description in RNAcentral is "partial 16S ribosomal RNA". It matches the Rfam family "Bacterial small subunit ribosomal RNA", at positions 506 to 784 of the family's 1533-position model. The record is from RNAcentral.
UGCCAGCAGCCGCGGUAAUACAGAGGUGGCAAGCGUUGUCCGGAUUUACUGGGCGUAAAGGGUGCGUAGGCUGUUUUGUAAGUCGGAUGUGAAAUCUUACCGUUCAUCGGUAAAACUGCAUUCGAUACUGCAGGACUAGAGUAUAGGAGAGGAGAGCGGAAUUCUUGGUGUAGCGGUGAAAUGCGUUGAUAUCAAGAGGAACACCGGUGGCGAAGGCGGCUCUCUGGACUAUUACUGACGCUGAGGCACGAAAGCUAGGGGAGCAAACAGGAUUAGAUA